Molecule: ribosomal RNA, 523 nt
Filed under: Cophyla berara
Lineage: Eukaryota; Metazoa; Chordata; Amphibia; Anura; Microhylidae
Description: partial 16S ribosomal RNA
Rfam family: Bacterial large subunit ribosomal RNA
Source: RNAcentral
CUGCCCAGUGACACCCCAGUUAAACGGCCGCGGUAAUUUGACCGUGCAAAGGUAGCACAAUCACUUGUUCUUUAAAUAAGGACUAGAAUGAACGGCUUCACGAGGGCUAUACUGUCUCCCCUCUCUAAUCAGUGAAACUGAUCUCCUCGUGAAGAAGCGAGGAUACCCCGAUAAGACGAGAAGACCCCAUGAAGCUUUAAACUUGUAACAACCCCCCCAUCUAAGUACACCAGUAAUAGAAAGAAAUGUCUACAAGUCUUUCGGCUGGGGCGACCCUGGAGGAAAACUCAACCUUCGCGAUGAACGGACCCACUCCUAAUCAAAGAGCUACAACUCAAAGAAUCAAUAAACUGACACAUUGACCCAAAUAUUUGAUCAACGAACCAAGUUACACUGGGGAUAACAGCGCAAUCCAUUUCUAGAGCCCCCAUCGACAAAUGGGCUUACGACCUCGAUGUUGGAUCAGGGUAUCCCAGUGGUGCAGCCGCUACUAAAGGUUCGUUUGUUCAACGAUUAAAACCCU